GGGGAGCUACAGGCAGAGGGAGAAGUAGGCUCUCCACGGAGCAGGGAGCCUGAUCUGGGGCCCGAUUCCAAGACCCUGAGAUCAUGACCUGAGCCAAAGUUAGAUGCCCAGCCAACUGAGUCACCCAGGCUAGAACUUCCAGCACUAUGUUGCAUAAGACUGCUGAGAACAGACAUCCCUGCCUUGUUCCUAAUAUUAGGGGAAAACAUUCAGCCUUUCACCCCUACCAGAAAAUUGAAAAUUACGUAUAUGGUUCCCAGUAUAUGUUCCUAUUGGACAACACUGAUGUAGAAAAUAAGUCUUGAUUCUCAGCCUAGUGUUCUCUACGUCCUACAUUGAAAGGGAGGAUGUCAAAAGGAUGAAAGUUGGUGCUCCAGCCAUCUCACCCAAAUUCCUGACCGAGGGAGAAAUGGAAAAGGACAAAGGGGUACAUGCCAUCAACCUGUCCCCCUUCCUUUCUGCAAGCUUCACUUACCAACUUCUGUUUUUCAUCCCAUUGGCCGCUGCUAAUUGCAAGGUAUAUGUCUAUGGAGGGAGCCUGCUCCAACCUCUUGGCCACAGUCUUGGGUCUCAUCUACAGUAUCUUCUGAUCUGGAAUUGAGAUAUGGAGGUGCUCCACUUUGGACCAGAUGGCUGAGGACAACAUCAAAGGGAUGGUGGAGCAGCAAAUCAGAAGGACUGUUGUCAUCGGGCGGGUAGCUGCCAGAUAGCUUUGGAUGGCUCCAGCCUGGACUGUGACGUGAGAAAGAAUACAAUUCUACCUGCUUAAGCCCCUCUUACUUCAGAUCUUUGUUGUAUCAGCCACACGAAGUACCUAAGUCCUAAUGAAUGCAUUUGCUUACCAAAGCAUCUGGAAACAGUGUGUGCAUUAUUCAAAUGUAACAAUGUGUGUAAGAGCUGUACAAAUGUAGCUUUACCUGUUACUGUCAGGGAUUUGGAUGAUGACUUGCUGCUUUGCUCUCUUCCAGUUUUCUCUGACUUACUUACUUCUCCUUUUGAAGAACCUAGCGCCGGCGUUAUCCACGUUGGUCCCUCUGGUUCAUUCGGCGUCCUCCCUUGUGUGGUCUUGGGAGUCCUGGUGCAUGGCUCUGCAGUGGUACCCGGCCUCCUGUGUUGAGAUGUCUUCCAUCUUGGGUCUACCCAUCCUGGAUGGAAAUGGCCCAAGUCCUGAGUUCCCUUCCCACACAGGAUUGUGAACUCCCUUAGGGCAGGGCUGACUCCUGUCCUGCUAGCAAGCCUGUUGCAUAUUCAGUCCACAAUACAUAUUUGUGUUAAGUGAUCCUAUGUGUGAAUGAAAGACAACAUGGGGGAAUGGAUCAUAAAGUGGAGUGUUUACAAUGGUUAUCUCCUUGUUACUGCAGCAAACUCACUUCUUUACGUCUGAUGUCGGCGCACU
Molecule: long non-coding RNA, 1396 nt
Organism: Mirounga angustirostris (Northern elephant seal)
Lineage: Eukaryota; Metazoa; Chordata; Mammalia; Carnivora; Phocidae
Exons: 6
Source: RefSeq, a predicted model, not a curated record